This 253-nucleotide ribosomal RNA is filed under the name uncultured bacterium. RNAcentral's name for it is "partial 16S ribosomal RNA". It matches the Rfam family "Bacterial small subunit ribosomal RNA", at positions 524 to 776 of the family's 1533-position model. The record is from RNAcentral.
UACGGAGGGUGCGAGCGUUGUCCGGAAUCACUGGGCGUAAAGGGCGCGUAGGCGGCCUGGCAAGUCGAUGGUGAAAGCCCGAGGCUCAACUUCGGGUCGGCCACUGAUACUGCUGGGCUUGAGUCGACUAGAGGCAGAUGGAAUUCCGGGUGUAGCGGUGGAAUGCGUAGAGAUCCGGAAGAACACCGGUGGCGAAGGCAGCCCCCUGGGUCAAGAUUGACGCUCAUGCACGAAAGCGUGGGGAGCAAACAGG